RNAcentral lists this ribosomal RNA (429 nucleotides) under Chloroflexota bacterium. RNAcentral's name for it is "Chloroflexi bacterium partial 16S ribosomal RNA". It matches the Rfam family "Bacterial small subunit ribosomal RNA", at positions 355 to 776 of the family's 1533-position model. Lineage: Bacteria; Bacillati; Chloroflexota. The record is from RNAcentral.
UGGGGAAUAUUGCACAAUGGGCGCAAGCCUGAUGCAGCCAUGCCGCGUGUAUGAAGAAGGCCUUCGGGUUGUAAAGUACUUUCAGCGGGGAGGAAGGGAGUAAAGUUAAUACCUUUGCUCAUUGACGUUACCCGCAGAAGAAGCACCGGCUAACUCCGUGCCAGCAGCCGCGGUAAUACGGAGGGUGCAAGCGUUAAUCGGAAUUACUGGGCGUAAAGCGCACGCAGGCGGGUUGUUAAGUCAGAUGUGAAAUCCCCGGGCUCAACCUGGGAACUGCAUCUGAUACUGGCAAGCUUGAGUCUCGUAGAGGGAGGUAGAAUUCCAGGUGUAGCGGUGAAAUGCGUAAAGAUCUGGAGGAAUACCGGUGGCGAAGGCGGCCCCCUGGACGAAGACUGACGCUCAGGUGCGAAAGCGUGGGGAGCAAACAGG